CCUACGGGGGGCAGCAGUAGGGAAUCUUCCACAAUGGACGAAAGUCUGAUGGAGCAACGCCGCGUGAGUGAUGAAGGUUUUCGGAUCGUAAAACUCUGUUGUAAGGGAAGAACAAGUGCGUUAGGUAAUGAACGCACCUUGACGGUACCUUAUUAGAAAGCCACGGCUAACUACGUGCCAGCAGCCGCGGUAAUACGUAGGUGGCAAGCGUUGUCCGGAUUUAUUGGGCGUAAAGCGCGCGCAGGUGGUUUCUUAAGUCUGAUGUGAAAGCCCACGGCUCAACCGUGGAGGGUCAUUGGAAACUGGGAGACUUGAGUGCAGAAGAGGAUAGUGGAAUUCCAAGUGUAGCGGUGAAAUGCGUAGAGAUUUGGAGGAACACCAGUGGCGAAGGCGACUGUCUGGUCUGUAACUGACACUGAGGCGCGAAAGCGU
Molecule: ribosomal RNA, 432 nt
Filed under: uncultured bacterium
Lineage: Bacteria
Description: bacterial SSU rRNA
Rfam family: Bacterial small subunit ribosomal RNA
Source: RNAcentral